AACGAACGCUGGCGGCAGGCUUAACACAUGCAAGUCGAACGGGUGUAGCAAUACAUCAGUGGCAGACGGGUGAGUAACACGUGGGAACCUUCCUAGGGGUACGGAACAACUCAGGGAAACUUGAGCUAAUACCGUAUACGUCCGUAAGGAGAAAGAUUCAUCGCCCCUAGACGGGCCCGCGUCGGAUUAGGUAGUUGGUGGGGUAACGGCCUACCAAGCCUACGAUCCGUAGCUGAUCUGAGAGGANGAUCAGCCACACUGGGACUGAGACACGGCCCAGACUCCUACGGGAGGCAGCAGUGGGGAAUUUUGGACAAUGGGGCAACCCUGAUCCAGCCAUUCCGCGUGAGUGAAGAAGGCCUUCGGUUG
RNAcentral lists this ribosomal RNA (369 nucleotides) under uncultured bacterium. Its description in RNAcentral is "bacterial SSU rRNA". It matches the Rfam family "Bacterial small subunit ribosomal RNA", at positions 29 to 425 of the family's 1533-position model. The record is from RNAcentral.